RNAcentral lists this long non-coding RNA (1416 nucleotides) under Equus caballus (horse). Its description in RNAcentral is "lncRNA (ENSECAG00000055221.1)". The record is from RNAcentral. Lineage: Eukaryota; Metazoa; Chordata; Mammalia; Perissodactyla; Equidae.
AUUAUUCUCUCCUAGCCCUCUGUAUACUGUAUACUUCCUUGCUCAUUCUCUCUCUUUCUGUGACACUAUGAAGAAUUAUGUAAACUUCUGGCUUUCUUGGCAGCUCUCAAGUUUAACGUGACCUCUAAAAUAUACCACAUGACACAAAAUUCAAGGACUCCAUAACACUCCCUAUAAGUAACAUCAUCUGGCUCCCUCAUCACCACUGCAUCCACUCUCCACAGUCUGGGGCUUUGCAGCUAUUGUGUCACACCAAUCCUGUGUACACUGUACACCUGAGAAGGACACUGACAAACCGAUGUGCUAUGCCUCUGCUUUUAUGGAGGGAUUUUCAAGAAACAUGAAAAUGGCUUGGGCCCCUUUUGACCUGAGAGCCUUGGUCAACAUCAUGAACGAGCUUCUCUGGUGACUGCUCACAACUCGUUUGGCACUUACUCCUGUUAUGCCACCAUGAAAAUCUAUUCUAUAUUGGUGUGUCCCGUGCCUACAGAAUUCAUGUUUUAGAGAGCUGAAGCUGUCAAACAAGUAAUCCAUAGAUGAAAAUUUCACAUUCUGCAUCUGAUGCUUUCAAUAUCUGAAUUGUUUCAGGCAUCUCAGGGCACUGCCAACCUGGGGCUUCUCUGAAAUAAAUCCCAGUUUGAGGUUUCUCAAGACUUACAUAUUUUGUGAAUUCUGCCAACACAUUUAAGGAGUACAGCUGUAAAAGAGAGCAGAGAAAUGGAACAGUAGCUCUGAGGAAUGUGGAUCAAGACAAGUUAUUUUUUAAUGGGAAAUGCCGUAGCAAUUGUUUAUGCCAAUGAGAAUAAUUCAUAAGAAAAAGGAAGAAGAAAAAAACAAGGAGGAAAUAAAAAGGAAACAAGUGUAAAGCAGCACCAAGAACCAACUUGAGGGAGAAAGAUGAGCAACUUCAGAUGUUAAAGUGUAAAACACCUCACUCAUCUCAGGACCUUGAAGUCUAAUUCACGAUGACAGCAGCAACAACAACACGUCAUUGCGUUAAAUUCCUGAGUUCAAGAGUAUAAUCAGUGGUCCUAAGGAGGUUUUUACGGUGUUACGACAGAGAAUGUGAGUGAAAGGAAAUCUGCCAGUGGAAGAUUUAAGGAACGGUUCUCUGAGCAGGAGACACUUAACAGAAAUUAACUUUCUUCGAUUUAAUGUCAUUUUUUAAUGAUUGACUCUGUUUGAGGUAGGAAGCCAGAGGAGAAUGUGACUUCCUGAUUUCACAAAACUUCUUCCCUUCCAGCCCCGCCUGAGAUCACAGUCAUGUCCAGUGGCACAAUCAACAGCAAGACCAGUGAGAUUCAAAGCAUAGGCAUCUCUCGUGUCCAUCAUUUUCACAAAUUUGAAUUCCUUACAGUUAGUUGUAGUCUCAAUCUCCAUAUAGCAUAGAAUUGUGGUUGAUGUUAAAUAAAUAUU